Molecule: long non-coding RNA, 428 nt
Organism: Solanum stenotomum
Lineage: Eukaryota; Viridiplantae; Streptophyta; Magnoliopsida; Solanales; Solanaceae
Exons: 2
Source: RefSeq, a predicted model, not a curated record
UAUAAACCAUAUACUGAAAGUGUUUUUUUUUAAAAAAAAAAUCUUGUCAAGCUAUAAAGCAAAAGCUCUCUCUGUAGUUGAAUAUUAGAGAGAAGUAGAAAAAUGGAUGCACCACAAUAUCAAGAGAUGUCUUAUCUUGAGCAUGUCAAACGUCGACGCGAGGAAAAAGGAUGCCUUUACGCUUGUGUGUUCGCAAUGUGUUGCUGCUUCUGUUGCUACGAGACCUGCGAGUGCUGUCUGGACAUGCUCUGCUGCUGUACUUGAUGUCCCUCCUAGCCAUGCCAACCCUGUGUUAAGCUAAAAAUGGAAUUUGUUUCCCUGUUUUCUCACACUCUGUUUCUUCCACGUCUCUUUUGUUACCUCCCACUGUGUGUUUGACAACUGUGAAGUUGAAUAAACUUGUGCUUUUAAGUCAUUUUCUAUUGAAA